This 1162-nucleotide long non-coding RNA is filed under the name Amphibalanus amphitrite. RNAcentral's name for it is "uncharacterized LOC122369798". Lineage: Eukaryota; Metazoa; Arthropoda; Thecostraca; Balanomorpha; Balanidae. The record is from RNAcentral.
AUAAAGCAGACGGAUGGACCCAUCACGUUAUCACUCGUGAGUUUUUAAAGUCGAAGCCCGUAUUGGGAAUCGUUAACAAGCGUACCCUUUACAUUGCACGACUGACGACAUGCUCCUUUGUAAAUCGUUUCCGGUAAACCACGAAAUUCCCAUCCCAGAAACAGUCCACAGGUCAGUAGCAAGGAGAUGUGGUUCCCAGAAUAAUAUAAAGGUAAAGGUGCAGUGAUAGCCUUUUUCCAAGAAUUUGUAUCCAGCAGCACUACCAUGGUGCAAUGCUAAAGCUGAAGCUAAAGUCGUGUGAUCUUAUCUAUCAAGCUAUUAAGUGAUUAUGUAUUUUGCACUAUUGUCAUAUUUGUCGAAAGGCAUAAAACAGUUAAAACAGAUUAAGACGCCGCAUUUGCCAUUGUCUACAAGUCAAACUCGGUUUGACCCAGUCAGACUGUAAGUCUAUUAUUACGUACGUAUACCCGUUCACCCCUAAGGUUACAGUUCUUCGUUCGCCAUAAAAAUGGGAGGGAUGUGAGAAAUAUCGUUUCCAUCUGCUCUGAGCGGCAUCGGCGACACUCAUUAUUUCCAGCGACGGGAAGCGCCCCGUCAGUCGGCCCGGAGGCCAAGGCCGACCAACCGGCGGCGGCUCGCUCGGCUCCUAUCUCGCUGACCUCCACCGUUCGCCCACACCAAAAACACUCGGCGAGGGUUAGAUCGUGAAAAAUGGGUUGACGACACACCAAGGGCAAACGACUGUCGGAGAGGUAUAAAACGGGCGCCAGACGCAGCAGCGACACACUCACACAGUCCACACCACACUCAACAACAUCCACUCUCCAACACUCCACUCAACAUGCACAACCUGCCCGCCAUCAUGACGCUGACCAGGGAGCCGAUUGGCUCGGCUUGGCGGCAGCAGGCUGUUCUUUCGGCACUCUUCCGGCCUCUACAAUAUCGGCAUACUCGAGUGCGAUAGCAACUCGAGUGGGACUGAUUUUCGGUCUUCUUUCGACACUCUUCCGUAUUCUUCGAUAUCAGCCCGUGCUAAUGCAACGGCUAUUCGUGCAGGACUGAUUUUCGGCCUUGUCUCGUUUAAUGACUCGAUCGCUUCCUUUUGACAUUUUGGUUUCGACCUUAUCUUUUGGCUCAUUUCAAUAUAUCUACUUUUAACUCA